This 913-nucleotide ribosomal RNA is filed under the name Geminigera cryophila. RNAcentral's name for it is "partial large subunit ribosomal RNA". It matches the Rfam family "Eukaryotic large subunit ribosomal RNA", at positions 94 to 953 of the family's 3401-position model. The record is from RNAcentral. Lineage: Eukaryota; Cryptophyceae; Pyrenomonadales; Geminigeraceae.
UGAAGCGGGAAGAGCUCAAGCUUGAAUCUUCGGAAUUGUAGUCUAUAGGUGGGAACUCGUACAGACCCGGGUAUAAAUCCGUUCUUGGAACUGGGUGCCAGAGAGGGUUAGAGCCCCGUCUUUGACUCGGUGUAUGUGCGUGGCGAGUUUUUGCUAGAGAGUCGGCUUGCUUGGGAAUGCAGGUCAAAAUGGGUGGUAAACUUCAUCUAAAGCUAAAUAUUGGCGAGAGACCGAUAGCGAACAAGUACUGUGAAGGAAAGAUGGAAAGAACUUUGAAAAGAGAGUGAAAAAGGGCCUGAAAUUGUUAAGAGGAUAAGUGGUUGGAGCAUAUCAUAUCAUACGGUCACAAAAGGUCCUCCGGGAUUGGUAUGGCCGUGUGGUUGGUCAGCAUCUAUUUCUGGGGGGGGAGAAUGCUUUUGCGAAGGCCUUCGGGCUGACGUGUUAGUGAAACCCUGCUGGAGAUAGAGGCACAAAGAGCGCGCAUAGCGGCCGGCCCCUUUUGCGGUGUGUAAUGUUGGGUCGAUCCUUCGGGCAUUUACUUUUCAUUGGGCUUCGACUUGAGGGAGCGCUGGACCUGCGUUCUGAAGAUGCUGGCACAAAUGGCUUCAACCAGCCCGUCUUGAAACACGGACCAAGGAGUCUAACACAUAUGCGAGUAGUAAGGUGGCAAACCUUGGAUGCGCAAUGAAAGUAACGUGGUGGGAUUCGUAAGAUGCACCAUCAACCGACCAGGAUCUUUUGUGAAAGGUUUGAGUAAGAGCAUAUAUGUUGGGACCCGAAAGAUGGUGAACUAUGCCUGAAUAGGGUGAAGCCAGAGGAAACUCUGGUGGAAGCUCGUAGCGGUACUGACGUGCAAAUCGUUCGUCAAAUUUGGGUAUAGGGGCGAAAGACUAAUCGAACCAUCUAGUAGCUG